RNAcentral lists this Y RNA (95 nucleotides) under Propithecus coquereli (Coquerel's sifaka). Its description in RNAcentral is "Y RNA (ENSPCOG00000011577.1)". It matches the Rfam family "Y RNA". Rfam says of the family: Y RNAs are components of the Ro ribonucleoprotein particle (Ro RNP), in association with Ro60 and La proteins. The record is from Rfam by way of RNAcentral. Lineage: Eukaryota; Metazoa; Chordata; Mammalia; Primates; Indriidae.
GGCUGGUCCGAUGGUAGUGGGUUAUCAGAACUUAUUAACAUUAGUGUCACUAAAGUUGGUAUUCAAAACCCCACUGCUAAAUUUGACUGUCUAAA